Molecule: unclassified non-coding RNA, 502 nt
Filed under: Hevea brasiliensis (rubber tree)
Lineage: Eukaryota; Viridiplantae; Streptophyta; Magnoliopsida; Malpighiales; Euphorbiaceae
Source: RNAcentral
GUUUUUCUUCUUUAAUAUCUUUUAAUGUAGAUCUAGAUUAAUUAUUGUGGGGUUUCAAUUUGGCGUUUGGAGUCCUUGUUAGGGUUUCUCUGUGUAUUAGAUGGUCCAUCUCUGGGCUCGAUUCUUCGCUUGGAUAUCAUAGGGUUGUUACUUACUUUAUCUCACGCUUACUUACCCCAAUUUUCUUCUUUACCAGACUGAUAAUUCUCGUUUCAAGACUUUUGGCCCUGAAAAUUAAGGAAAUUCAUUGCUUUAUCGAAGGAUGACUUGCCUGAAUUUUCUUCGAAUCAGAUUGAGACUUCUUGUUUUUUUAAUGAAUUUGGCUGGCAAAUUAAGGAAAUUCCCAAUGAUAAUGGAGAAUACCAAUUGAUUUAUCAAAAAAUCAGUAAUUCUAAUAAAAAAUUAAUCUCCUAAUUUUAUUUUUCUUAUCCACGUUGAUGGGUGUUCCAGAAUCCACCUUAGCUAUUUGACUGUUUGAUUUAGUUUGCCGUUAGGCUUUUUU